RNAcentral lists this non-coding RNA (147 nucleotides) under uncultured Olsenella sp. RNAcentral describes it as "FMN riboswitch (RFN element)". It matches the Rfam family "FMN riboswitch aptamer (RFN element)". Rfam says of the family: The RFN element is a highly conserved domain that is found frequently in the 5'-untranslated regions of prokaryotic mRNAs that encode for flavin mononucleotide (FMN) biosynthesis and transport proteins. This element is a metabolite-dependent riboswitch that directly binds FMN in the absence of proteins. In Bacillus subtilis, the riboswitch most likely controls gene expression by causing premature transcription termination within the 5' untranslated region of the ribDEAHT operon and precluding access to the ribosome-binding site of ypaA mRNA. Lineage: Bacteria; Bacillati; Actinomycetota; Coriobacteriia; Coriobacteriales; Atopobiaceae. The record is from RNAcentral.
GUUUCAGGGCGGGGCGAAAUUCCCCACCGGUGGUGACGGGUAGCCUGAUCAUUGCAGGCGUAGUCCCGAAGUCCGCGAGCCGCGUAGAAAAGAGCGGUUGACCUGGUGCGAUUCCAGGACCGACGGUUACAGUCCGGAUGGAAGAAA